Molecule: ribosomal RNA, 446 nt
Filed under: uncultured bacterium
Lineage: Bacteria
Description: partial 16S ribosomal RNA
Rfam family: Bacterial small subunit ribosomal RNA
Source: RNAcentral
CCUACGGGUGGCUGCAGUCGAGAAUCAUUCACAAUGGGGGAAACCCUGAUGGUGCGACGCCGCGUGGGGGAAUGAAGGUCUUCGGAUUGUAAACCCCUGUCAUGUGGGAGCAAAUUCAAAAGAGAGUACCACAAGAGGAAGAGACGGCUAACUAUGUGCCAGCAACCGCGGGAAUACAGAGGUCUCAAGCGUUGGUCGGAAUCACUGGGCGUAAAGCGUGCGGAGGCUGUUUCGUAAGUCGUGUGUGAAAGGCGCGGGCUCAACCCGCGGACGGCACAUGAUACUGCGAGACUAGAGUAAUGGAGGGGGAACCGGAAGGCGCGGUGUAGCAGUGAAAUGCGUAGAUAUCGAGAAGAACUCUCGUGGCGAAGGCAGGUUCCUGGACAUUAACUGACGCUGAGGCACGAAGGCCAGGGGAGCGAAAGGGAUUAGAUACCCGAGUAGUC